GACGAACGCUGGCGGCGUGCUUAACACAUGCAAGUCGAACGGAAAGGCCCUGCUUUUGUGGGGUGCUCGAGUGGCGAACGGGUGAGUAACACGUGAGUAACCUGCCCUUGACUUUGGGAUAACUUCAGGAAACUGGGGCUAAUACCGGAUAGGAGCUCCUGCUGCAUGGUGGGGGUUGGAAAGUUUCGGCGGUUGGGGAUGGACUCGCGGCUUAUCAGCUUGUUGGUGGGGUAGUGGCUUACCAAGGCUUUGACGGGUAGCCGGCCUGAGAGGGUGACCGGCCACAUUGGGACUGAGAUACGGCCCAGACUCCUACGGGAGGCAGCAGUGGGAAAUAUUGCGCAAUGGGCGGAAGCCUGAUGCAGCGACGCCGCGUGCGGGAUGACGGCCUUCGGGUUGUAAACCGCUUUCUCCUGUGACGAAGCGUGAGUGACGGUAAUGGGUAAAGAAGCACCGGCUAACUACGUG
This 468-nucleotide ribosomal RNA is filed under the name uncultured bacterium. Its description in RNAcentral is "partial 16S ribosomal RNA". It matches the Rfam family "Bacterial small subunit ribosomal RNA", at positions 28 to 507 of the family's 1533-position model. The record is from RNAcentral.